CAUUGAGCCUUGAUGUGUAGGAUAGGUGGGAGGCUUUGAAGUGUGGACGCCAGUCUGCAUGGAGCCGACCUUGAAAUACCACCCUUUAAUGUUUGAUGUUCUAACGUUGACCCGUAAUCCGGGUUGCGGACAGUGUCUGGUGGGUAGUUUGACUGGGGCGGUCUCCUCCUAAAGAGUAACGGAGGAGCACGAAGGUUGGCUAAUCCUGGUCGGACAUCAGGAGGUUAGUGC
RNAcentral lists this ribosomal RNA (231 nucleotides) under Escherichia coli. Its description in RNAcentral is "partial 23S ribosomal RNA". It matches the Rfam family "Bacterial large subunit ribosomal RNA", at positions 2122 to 2352 of the family's 2925-position model. The record is from RNAcentral. Lineage: Bacteria; Pseudomonadati; Pseudomonadota; Gammaproteobacteria; Enterobacterales; Enterobacteriaceae.